AUUGAACGCUGGCGGCAUGCCUAACACAUGCCAGUCGAGCGGAUGAAGGGAGCUUGCUCCUGGAUUCAGCGGCGGACGGGUGAGUAAUGCCUAUGAAUCUGCCUGGUAGUGUGGGAUAACGUCCGGAAACGGGCGCUAAUACCGCAUACGUCCUGAGGGAGAAAGUGGGGGAUCUUCGGACCCCUCGCUAUCAGAUGAUCCUAGGUCGGAUUAGCUAGUUGGUGGGGUAAAGGCCUACCAAGGCGACGAUCAGUAACUGGUCUGAGAGGAUGAUCAGUCACACUGGAACUGAGACACGGUCCAGACUCCUACGGGAGGCAGCAGUGGGGAAUAUUGGACAAUGGGCGAAAGCCUGAUCCAGCAAUGCCGCGUGUGUGAAGAAGGUCUUCGGAUUGUAAAGCACUUUAAGUUGGGAGGAAGGGCAGUAAGUUAAUACCUUGCUGUUUUGACGUUACCAACAGAAUAAGCACCGGCUAACUUCGUG
This 484-nucleotide ribosomal RNA is filed under the name uncultured bacterium. Its description in RNAcentral is "partial 16S ribosomal RNA". It matches the Rfam family "Bacterial small subunit ribosomal RNA", at positions 30 to 507 of the family's 1533-position model. The record is from RNAcentral.